This 305-nucleotide ribosomal RNA is filed under the name uncultured bacterium. RNAcentral describes it as "bacterial SSU rRNA". It matches the Rfam family "Bacterial small subunit ribosomal RNA", at positions 336 to 658 of the family's 1533-position model. The record is from RNAcentral.
UUCCUACGGGGCGCAGCAGUAGGGAAUAUUGCUCAAUGGGGGAAACCCUGAAGCAGCAACGCCGCGUGGAGGAUGAAGGUUUUCGGAUUGUAAACUCCUUUUGUUAGAGAAGAUAAUGACGGUAUCUAACGAAUAAGCACCGGCUAACUACGUGCCAGCAGCCGCGGUAAUACGUAGGUGGCAAGCGUUGUCCGGAAUUACUGGGUGUAAAGGGAGCGCAGGCGGGAAGCCAAGUCAGCUGUGAAAACUACGGGCUUAACUUGUAGACUGCAGUUGAAACUGGUUUUCUUGAGUGAAGUAGAGGG